GAUGAAGAACGUAGCGAAAUGCGAUACGUAAUGUGAAUUGCAAAUUCAGUGAAUCAUCGAGUCUUUGAACGCACAUUGCGCCCCCUGGUAUUCCGGGGGGCAUGCCUGUCCCAGCGUCAUUGCUGCCCUCAAGCACGGCUUGUGUGUUGGGCCCCGUCCUCCGAUCCCGGGGGACGGGCCCGAAAGGCAGCGGCGGCACCGCGUCCGGUCCUCGAGCGUAUGGGGCUUUGUCACCCGCUCUGUAGGCCCGGCCGGCGCUUGCCGAUCAACCCAAAUUUUUAUCCAGGUUGACCUCGGAUCAGGUAGGGAUACCCGCUGAACUUAAGCAUAUCAAUAAGCGGAGGA
RNAcentral lists this unclassified non-coding RNA (345 nucleotides) under soil metagenome. Its description in RNAcentral is "partial contains 5.8S ribosomal RNA, internal transcribed spacer 2, and large subunit ribosomal RNA". The stretch from base 1 to 119 matches the Rfam family "5.8S ribosomal RNA", at positions 35 to 154 of the family's 154-position model. The record is from RNAcentral.